AUGGAGGGAGCAGGAGAGAAAUAGAGAGAGGGUGACAGAACUAGAGAGCCAGAGCAUUAAAGCCUGGGAGAGGGAGCUCUCUGCUCUCGUAGACAGGGCUCCUUCCAGCAGGGGUAGGGUGGAGGGUGCUUGAGCCUGGCGGGAACAGGUGGGCAGGCCGCCCAUGCAAGAGGACCAACAGAACCCUGAGACGUAUUUUUGCUUGGAUUGGUUGCUUGCUUUUGGGGUGCGUUUCAUAGGGUCCUUUUGUUGGCUACUCCCUAUCUUCUUGGUGCAGUGGGCACCGAGAUUUGGAGAGUGCGUCCUUCCCUCUGGUGGGAGCCCUGGCGCAGAGCGUGCCGACCGGGCCGAGGCCUGGGUCUCUCUCGUGUCCUCAGGACUGGAGUUGACACGAAGACGGUGCCAAUGGGAAUCCGGGUGCACAGAGACGGAUUGCCUCGUGACUGGCGAAGGCAAUGUCCUUCCCCUGGGGAAAGCAGCCCAUAGGUCCAGGAGCAGAGGUUUUGGAUGGUGUCUGUGGGACCUCUGUCCCUGGCCGCCACUUCCCCCACCGGCUUGAACUAUUGCAUGGUGCCAGAUGAGUAAAUUGAAUUGCCUGGGCGUCCCGGGAGCGUGAAGACACGGGUCACCUCAGGGAACAUAUACCGUCCUGCCACGGCUGGAGCCGGGCACCUGGUGGGGCUGCAGCAAGAAGGAGGAUGUGGGAUGCUGUUGCCUGGCGGUGCUGCAGCGGUGGAACCCCACGAGGAGGUCCCGGGUUGCUUUGGGGCCGCAGUACUCCCUUCAGCAUUCCUUGUAGGACAGUCAUGGUAUUGAUGAAAUCCUUCAACUUUUGUUUGUCUGGAAAAGUCAGUAUUUCUUCUUAUUAUUUGAAGGACAUUUUCGCUGUAUAUGCUAUUCUAAGGAUUUGUCGCUGAUGCCUUACUUCAUUCACUUUGUGAGGUCAUGUUUUCCUGGAUGGUGACAAUGCUAGCAGAUGUUCUUCAGUGUCUGGACAUUAAAACUUUGGCAUGCAGCACCACAUAAGAUGUGAAAAAAAGAUUUUUUUUAAAAAAAAGAUGAGCAUUAAUUGUAGACUUCACUGUGUGGGGUUAUUCGUAGCUAUCUUUCUUGGGAAGGAUUUCCACAUAUUUGAAAAGGCAGGUGUUGUGAUCUAAGCCAUAUCUGCUUUAGGGGGCACCGUAUACCCAAUAGUGCUGUAAUUUUUGCAGUCUCAUUGAUGUACCACCUUGACAGUCUUGGACAAUAUCCAGGAAAAUUUUCUGGAUUAGUAGCCAGAGACUCUUGUUCUCUAACCUUAUUUUCCCUCAAAGAUACAGAGUCUUUCUCUCUAUUCUAAGCCACCUAAAGUUGGGAGGAGAAUGACACGAGCACCCCUGGCCGCCACCACUGGCUGCCCUGGGUCAGACCUGAAGCUGGCAUAGCACCGGGUCUUGCUCAAGUCCUGCUGCACGCACUUUCUGACAACUGUCUAUGUUCACUCAAGGCCUUUGGUCUCUGCAAUUAGCAGGUGGCAAAGCCAGCCAUAUCUGUGCUCUUUCCUUCAGGGCAGCGAGUUUCCUCAGUCCCUGGCUGGGUCCAGAAGUGCCAUUCGGAAGUCAGGGAGUAAAGUCAAAAAUUUCAGAAGUCCACCGGACAUUCUAUUGCAUUCCAGCUGAGCUGGCAUUCAAACCACAAGACACAGCCCUUCCUAUUACCUCCUUUCCUUUUCCAAAGGCAGAGUAGCCCCAAGCACCCCAGGCCACAAGGAGUACUGCCAUGUUACCACCUUUGUUCCUUUAAGGCCCAAAUCCUCUUUUCCGCUUGUGAUGAAUAUUGCCUGGACUGGGACUUGCCGUUUUCAGGCCACUGGUCUCCCCACUGGCCCUGGGCAGGUUCAUAUAUGCCAACCAAGAAUCAAGUCCUAGAAUCAGGGAUCCCAAAACCUUUCUUGGUGCUCUACCCACCUCUGGCCUUGCCGGUACUUAAGUGGCAUGAAAAAGUCCCCUUUACUUUUCCCUCUGCCUUUCCCAAGCAAAAGGAGUUUUGCCCCUUAGAUACCACAGCUUGUAAUGUGCUGAAUCUCACCUAAAUCUAGUAAGUCUAUGAGGCUCACACAAGCCUCUUGAUGUAGUAUCUGGGUAUGGCUGCUGGUUAUUCAGGGCCCAAAGGUUGUUAAGUUUGCAGGUGAUAAAUGCUGCCAGCACUGGGUUCUUUCCUUCAAGGCAGCAGGUUUCCUUCUGGCCCGGGGUGUGUCUUGGAAUGUCUAGGAGCCAGAGCCUGGAAAGGAGGACUCAGGACUCUGACCAGUGCACUAUCUUGCUGUGGUUGAGCUGGUAUCCAGGAUGGAAGACAAAGUCCUCCCUACUCUUUUUCCUCCUCUCCUCAAGCAGAAGGAUGGGGUCCCUUUUGGAGCUAUAAGCUGUGCAGCCUGGUAUUAGGAGAGUGAUAAUUCCAGAACCCCUUUGGCUGCCCCAGCUGGUGUCUCAGUAUGUUGCAUGACCUCCCACCUUAGUUGACUGUUCCUGGGUCCAGUUCAGCCCUAGGCCUCACCUAAGAGUUGCAGUCCUGAUGGCCUAGGCUGCCUUUCAAGUUUUCUUAGAUACAUGGAGCUCUGGAGCCCUCAGUACCCAGAUUUCCAAAUGCUCAAGUUCCAACCACCGAAAUCUCAUUCCCCUCUGGCCAGGGCUGGUUUAAAUAAUCCCUCUGUGGAUGGGCUUUAGCUGCAUUUGGUUUGGUUUUCCUUUCUGGUCUAACAGGGCAGCACAGAGUUCAAUGUCUUAAAAUUUCUG
Molecule: long non-coding RNA, 2771 nt
Filed under: Homo sapiens (human)
Lineage: Eukaryota; Metazoa; Chordata; Mammalia; Primates; Hominidae
Description: HSALNT0409381
Source: RNAcentral